CACCUCAUGGAGUCAGCCUUGUGUAAUAAAGAACUACCCAAGUGUCAAUCAACGUUUCAGUGCUAGAAGUUUGCCACUGGUUUGUAACAUGCUGGCAUGUAAAAAGGUUAGACAUCACUAGCUAGUUAUUAAGUGGACAUGAAGUCUUUACAUACACUUACACAAUAUACCAUGACCAGUUUCAAAUGGUGUGGCAUCUCCUUUACAGAUUCAUGUUAUACAUGUCUUACAUAUAUACAAAUAUCCUGGGAUGGUUUACCCAUUAGAGAGAUUAUAGGCGUCUGUCUAAAAGUACAUGCCCUGUGGGGGCGCUGCAGGUACUUACCUGUUAAAAGCCUCCCUCACUGCUUCCACAGUGUUUGCUAACAGAGAAUUGAGCAGUGAGACUGUAGGGGCAUGACUUAUUCAAUAAAAACAGCUUAAUGAGCUAAAGUUGUUUUGCUGCAUUGAAUAUCUCUAUUAUCUAAGAAAUUUUUCAAAAGCACUCUAGUGAUUAGAAAGAGAAAGCAAAUUCUUUAAAUACAUUGUAUAGAUCAGUAGUUCGUACAGGGGAACUCCCGCUUUCAUGGAAGUUGCAGUAAAUAGCAGAAAAUUAGAAGCACAAACCAUAUUUAACUUUGUCGGAGCUAAAAGCAACUGGGUACCUAUAGGUUGAGCAAAACCCUCAGUAGUGACAUGUUCCCCACGCGUUUUCCUUGGAUCUCUUAUGGCUAGGACAAAUACAUCAACCUGUAUUUCUCAGUCCCCAUGUAAUCAAAAACAAAAUGCACUGGUUAAUGUAACUGAACUGCUAUUGUGAGACAAAGGAGACCUGUCUGACACUGGAAAAUGAAGCAGUUUUGUUAAAUUGCUUUUGUUAUACACAGUUAAACAGUCGGUUACUGGGGUAAUUGUGAAAU
Molecule: non-coding RNA, 899 nt
Organism: Pelobates cultripes (western spadefoot toad)
Lineage: Eukaryota; Metazoa; Chordata; Amphibia; Anura; Pelobatidae
Source: the annotation of a GenBank genome assembly